CUCAGACGUAAGCAACCACCUUUCGCGAUGAACUGGUUCUCCUCGGUUCGAUCGAUCAAAAAGGCUAAAUCGCUGAAAAUACGCCGUGCCCGGCCGAGGGGACAUUCCCCGGUAAACUUUCGGCACCGGUGUGGUAUCGUUUAUAUUGUUUGCCAGAGAUACCGAUGAGACGUUUGUCGACGAUAAAACUGUCGAUUCGCUGAUCACGCGUUUGUAAACGCAGCGUAUGAUCGUUUUAUAAAAUGGCACGUUUAGCUGAAAAUCUGUUGAACCUGUUGGAGACCGAGACGUGACCUUCCACGUUUAGAAACGCAUUCGACCAGAGUCAUGGUUACGCGACGAUGAUGCUGCGCGAAGAAGGACCCUAACCGUCGUCGAAAGAAAAACAACGUUUUGUUCUAUAUUCUCUUUCAUUCUUUCCGGAUCGAGUGUUUUCAAGGAACUUGGGGAUUCAUUCACGUAUCUUUUGUUUACGCUCCUCAAAUAUUUCUUGCCACGCAUUGCUUCGGCAUGAGCGCGGAGAAUUGAGCGUACGCCUCCGAGGGAAUCGAAGAGGACGGCGCAGGCUCUAAUGGACAGGAGAGAAUUAAAACGCCAGGAUGAGAAGAACGAGUCCCAGGUACGUCCGAGAUCCGCGGCGCAAUAAUAAAAUCUAUCUAAUGAAAGCUAAUAAUAAAAUCGAGUAACUUAUGCUGCCGGUCGGCUCCGACGCGCUGGAACCUCGAGCGGAGAACGAUGAAACGCCACGGAACGGAGCGGAAGGAAACGAGCCGCAGGAAGCCGAGAUGAUCCCCGGGAUUGGAACGGUCACCUCUUUACGGACGAGGAUUUUUAGAAGCGUUGGAAGUCUCUUCCGAGGAAAAUUGAAUUGGAGACGGGACUCUUAAGCAUUGGGAAAUAAGAGAACCGUAUGGACAAAUCGGUUAGCUACGUGGGACAAAAAGUCGAUGAGAGUGACGCGAUGGUUAUAGGUUGAUUUUUAAGGUUUCUCUUUAAAUGGAAAAUCGAGGGAUCGUUGUAGAGUAUCUUACUUUGUUGCUGCGUCGCUUUGAUGCGACUAGUGUGGGGAGCGCGUGUAAUAUCCUUGAAGCAAUUUUUAUAAUAAUAAUUGUUACUGACAUCUUUGAAUUUUCUUCUUCUUCUUCUUCUUCUUCUUAUUAUUAUUAUUAUUAUUAUUGGUGCUCUUUUGUUAUCUCGUGUUACAAAAUCUAAUAAUAAGAAAAUUCAAAGACCUUAACGUCAAAAUA
Molecule: long non-coding RNA, 1247 nt
Organism: Nomia melanderi (Alkali bee)
Lineage: Eukaryota; Metazoa; Arthropoda; Insecta; Hymenoptera; Halictidae
Source: RefSeq, a predicted model, not a curated record